Molecule: long non-coding RNA, 1778 nt
Filed under: Homo sapiens (human)
Lineage: Eukaryota; Metazoa; Chordata; Mammalia; Primates; Hominidae
Description: HSALNT0401823
Source: RNAcentral
CUUCCAAAGUGUGGGGAUUACAGGCGUGAGCCCCCACGCCUGGCCCUGGAAAUAACCUUCUUUUGACCAGAAGGCACUUGGUAAGAGGCUUCCUUGGUGAGUCCUGGCUUGGGGCUGCUUCUUCCUGCUGGUCUUGUGCCCUACUUGCUUGGAAGCCCCCCUCCCCGGCCUCUCCCUUCCUAGAACUCCGAGCCACAGACAAGUGCCCAGAACAUUACCCUGAGAUUUUCAAAGAAGACAGAGAAGAAUAGGAAAAUGAAAAAACGCAAAUGUAAGUCUGUGGGGAUGGAAUUAAUUAAAAGGAAAAAAUAAUACGAAGGCCAAGGAGGGGAGAGAGGGUGAGAAACAACAAAAACUCAUUUACAGCCAACAGAGAUCAUCUGAGGGAAAACAAAGAAUGGAACCCAAAUGAAAGAUUCCUGUGCAAGUCUAGGGAGAAGACUUGGGGAUGUGCAGGGAGAGAAAAGGACGCAGUGAUUAAUAAAACAGAGGGGAAAAUGAAAAUGCAACACAAAGCCCUCGGGUUCUACAUACAAGCCAAGGUACAUAUGCCAAUAAAAGCAGGGAAAUGGGGAACAAAGGAUGUCAUAGCAACCUCAAGGAGCCCUGUUGUGCUACCGACUGCAGAGCUCAUGGACAUCCAUCAGGAAGCCUCCAAUACCCAAACCAGAGACAGAGGAGCAAAAGGACCUCUCCUUGUGUGAUGCUGGCUAACAUCCCACUGGCCAAAACAGGUUACAUGUUAGGUGCAAAGGGGUAGUUGCCUAAUCCAUAUCCAUGUGGAUAGCUCUUUACUUAGGAAACCUUGAUGGCUUAUUUGGAUGACAAAGGUUCCCUUUUGGCGAUACAUAGCCAUGCGAGACAACAUAGCCAUGAAACAAACCAAGUCCACCAGUGGCUUCCUAGGAACACAUUUGCUUUCCUGAUAAAAGAGGACAGAUGCAGUUGCAGAAGUACCUGUGCCUCUUUUUCUUUUUCUUCUUCUUUUUCUUUUUUAAUCUCUUAAAUGCAGAUAUAAGAACUGGUACUGAAGCAGCCAUCUUGUGACCAUAAGGAAGAAGCCAAGAACAUCAGAACCAGUGGCCUAGCCAUUGCACAGUCAUCUAAACACACCUCUGGACUUGUUAUUAUGUAAAAAAAAAUAAACACCUGCUCUUGUUAUUUGCAAUUCAACAUAAUCGUAACUUACAUAAUAUUUAUCAAAUUGAUACAAAUAAGAAAUAAAUUACUUGGGAAUAAAAUUUCCAGUAGUUUGUCAAGCAUCUCCAAUCUUCUGAUUUCUUUAUUUCCCAUUGCAUUUUUCCCCAAUAAAUAUUCAUCUUCAAUACUCAAGAGUCUUCGUUAUGUCAGAGGGAAGUUGCUCUGAAGCUAAAAUCACAAUAGAAAAAUAUAUCCAGAGGUAUAGGCCUGUAUCCCCCAGCAGUUUCUUUCUUUGGUUAUGUCAUCUAUUGUCAGGGCAUAUCAACAAAACACAACGAAUGGUCGGAUGUGGCUGUCCUUGGUCAUGAUCUCUUUCAUUCUUGAAUACCUACUCAUCACUUACAGUUCUGCCUCAGUUUACUGUGCAGAAGCCACCUGUCAUGUAACAUCCAAAUCUGGUCAUUUAGGACUUAACUUCCCUCCAUCUCUUCAUACUGAGAUGUAGUGAUGGGAGAUUUCCAUUUCUUCUUUCAAAUGUUGUUUAUACACACAUUUCAGGCAUAAACUUUGUGGGAAACAAAAAUGAAUGAGGAAUCAAGUUGCUCUCAACAGCGUCUUGUAGACAUAAACUUUCAUGA